UACGUAGGGUGCAAGCGUUAAUCGGAAUUACUGGGCGUAAAGCGUGCGCAGGCGGCUUUGCAAGACAGAUGUGAAAUCCCCGGGCUUAACCUGGGAACUGCAUUUGUGACUGCAUGGCUGGAGUGCGGCAGAGGGGGAUGGAAUUCCUGGUGUAGCAGUGAAAUGCGUAGAUAUCAGGAGGAAUACCGAUGGCGAAGGCAGGUCUCUGGGCUGACACUGACGCUCAUGCACGAAAGCGUGGGGAGCAAACAGG
This 253-nucleotide ribosomal RNA is filed under the name uncultured bacterium. Its description in RNAcentral is "partial 16S ribosomal RNA". It matches the Rfam family "Bacterial small subunit ribosomal RNA", at positions 524 to 776 of the family's 1533-position model. The record is from RNAcentral.